Molecule: transfer RNA, 74 nt
Filed under: Bacilli bacterium
Lineage: Bacteria; Bacillati; Bacillota; Bacilli
Description: tRNA-Gly
Rfam family: tRNA
About the family: Transfer RNA (tRNA) molecules are approximately 80 nucleotides in length. Their secondary structure includes four short double-helical elements and three loops (D, anti-codon, and T loops).
Source: RNAcentral
GCAAACAUAGUUUAGUGGUAGAACUCAACCUUCCCAAGGUUGAUAUGCGAGUUCGAUUCUCGUUGUUUGCUCCA